GGAAUAUUGGUCAAUGGACGCAAGUCUGAACCAGCCAUGCCGCGUGAAGGAUGAAGGUCCUCUGGAUUGUAAACUUCUUUUAUGUGGGAAGAAAUGUCUCGAUUUUUCGGGACUUGACGGUACCAUAGGAAUAAGCCCCGGCUAACUCCGUGCCAGCAGCCGCGGUAAUACGGAGGGUGCAAGCGUUAUCCGGAUUUAAUGGGUUUAAAGGGAGCGCAGGCGGAUAUGUAAAUCAGUGGUGAAAGCCCCGAGCUUAACUCGGGAACUGCCAUUGAUACUAUAUAUCUUGAAUGUUGUUGAGGUUUGCGGAAUGGGUCAUGUAGCGGUGAAAUGCAUAGAUAUGACCCGGAACACCUAUUGCGAAGGCAGCAGGCUAAACAAAUAUUGACGCUGAGGCUCGAAAGCGUGGGGAUCAAA
RNAcentral lists this ribosomal RNA (417 nucleotides) under uncultured bacterium. Its description in RNAcentral is "bacterial SSU rRNA". It matches the Rfam family "Bacterial small subunit ribosomal RNA", at positions 358 to 772 of the family's 1533-position model. The record is from RNAcentral.